AACAUGUGCGCAAGUCAUUGGGUUCUACGAAACCUAAAGGCGAAAAUGAAAGUGAAAGCUAUCUCUGGUAGCCUAGGAGUGAUCCAAGCAAUUGGCGCAACUCCGUCCGGUCAAAAUUGCUUAGCAAUAUGGCUGCGAAAGAGCGUACAUGUUGGGACCCGAAAGAUGGUGAACUAUGCCUGAGCAGGAUGAAGCCAGAGGAAACUCUGGUGGAGGUCCGUAGCGGUUCUGACGUGCAAAUCGAUCGUCAAACUUGGGUAUAGGGGCGAAAGACUAAUCGAACCAUCUAGUUGCUGGUUCCCUCCGAAGUUUUCCCCUCAGGAUAGCUGGCACUCAUUAGCAGUUUUAUCCGGUAAAGCGAAUGAUUAGAGGACUUGGGGACAAACGACCUCAACCUAUUCUCAAAC
RNAcentral lists this ribosomal RNA (407 nucleotides) under uncultured eukaryote. RNAcentral describes it as "eukaryotic LSU rRNA". It matches the Rfam family "Eukaryotic large subunit ribosomal RNA", at positions 677 to 1063 of the family's 3401-position model. The record is from RNAcentral.